This 431-nucleotide ribosomal RNA is filed under the name uncultured bacterium. RNAcentral describes it as "partial 16S ribosomal RNA". It matches the Rfam family "Bacterial small subunit ribosomal RNA", at positions 30 to 507 of the family's 1533-position model. The record is from RNAcentral.
CGACCGCUGGCGGCAGGCCUACCACAUGCAAGUCGACCGAACUCUUCGGAGUUAGUGGCGGACGGGUGAGUAACACGUGGGAACGUGCCUUUUGGUUCGGAAUAACUCAGGGAAACUUGUGCUAAUACCGAAUGUGCCCUUCGGGGGAAAGAUUUAUCGCCAUUAGAGCGGCCCGCGUCUGAUUAGCUAGUUGGUGAGGUAACGGCUCACCAAGGCGACGAUCAGUAGCUGGUCUGAGAGGAUGACCAGCCACACUGGGACUGAGACACGGCCCAGACUCCUACGGGAGGCAGCAGUGGGGAAUCUUGCGCAAUGGGCGAAAGCCUGACGCAGCCAUGCCGCGUGAAUGAUGAAGGUCUUAGGAUUGUAAAAUUCUUUCACCGGGGACGAUAAUGACGGUACCCGGAGAAGAAGCCCCGGCUAACUUCGUG